AUCUAGCCGAAGAGUCCUAAAAUAGGACGAAACGCGUGUCCUGGAU
Molecule: non-coding RNA, 46 nt
Filed under: Schistosoma haematobium
Lineage: Eukaryota; Metazoa; Platyhelminthes; Trematoda; Strigeidida; Schistosomatidae
Source: RNAcentral